This 187-nucleotide ribosomal RNA is filed under the name uncultured rumen bacterium. RNAcentral's name for it is "partial 16S ribosomal RNA". It matches the Rfam family "Bacterial small subunit ribosomal RNA", at positions 340 to 524 of the family's 1533-position model. The record is from RNAcentral.
UACGGGAGGCAGCAGUGAGGAAUAUUGGUCAAUGGGCGAGAGCCUGAACCAGCCAAGUAGCGUGCAGGAUGACGGCCCUAUGGGUUGUAAACUGCUUUUAUACGGGGAUAAAGUGAGGGACGUGUCCCUUUUUGUAGGUACUGUAUGAAUAAGGACCGGCUAAUUCCGUGCCAGCAGCCGCGGUAAU